GAUGAAGAACGCAGCGAAAUGCGACAAGUAAUGUGAAUUGCAGAAUUCCGUGAAUCAUCGAAUCUUUGAACGCACAUUGCGCCCGCCAGUAUUCUGGCGGGCAUGCCUGUUCGAGCGUCAUUACAACCCUCAGGCCCCCGGGCCUGGCGUUGGGGAUCGGCGGAGCCCCCCGUGGGCACACGCCGUCCCCCAAAUGCAGUGGCGGUCCCGCCGCAGCUUCCAUCGCGUAGUAGCUAACACCUCGCGACUGGAGAGCGGCGCGGCCACGCCGUAAAACACCCAACUCUUCUGAAGUUGACCUCGAAUCAGGUAGGAAUACCCGCUGAACUUAAGCAUAUCAAUAAGCGGAGGA
RNAcentral lists this unclassified non-coding RNA (352 nucleotides) under soil metagenome. Its description in RNAcentral is "partial contains 5.8S ribosomal RNA, internal transcribed spacer 2, and large subunit ribosomal RNA". The stretch from base 1 to 120 matches the Rfam family "5.8S ribosomal RNA", at positions 35 to 154 of the family's 154-position model. The record is from RNAcentral.